RNAcentral lists this ribosomal RNA (750 nucleotides) under uncultured bacterium. RNAcentral's name for it is "bacterial SSU rRNA". It matches the Rfam family "Bacterial small subunit ribosomal RNA", at positions 38 to 783 of the family's 1533-position model. The record is from RNAcentral.
GGGGGAGCUUAUCUGGCAGAUCGAGAGGCAACGGGUAGAUGAGCUUGCUCAUUUAUGCCGGCGACCGGCGCACGGGUCCCUUUUACGUAUGCAACCUGCCCGUCUCAGGGGGAUAAUCCCCCUAAACGGCGUCUAAUACCCCGUAUGAAGCUGGACGGCAUCGUCUGGUUUUGAUAGAGUAUCGGAGACGGAUGGCCCUGCGGCGCAUUAUCUAUUUGGCGGGGUAACGGCCCACCAAGGCGACGAUGCUGAGGGGUUCUGAGAGGAAGGUCCCCCACACUGGUACUGAGACACGGACCAGACUCCUACGGGAGGCAGCUGUGAGGAAUAUUGGUCGGUGGGCGAGAGCCUGAACCAGCCAAGUCUCGUGAGGGAGUACUGCCCUAUGGGUUGUAAACCUCUUUUGUCGGGGAGCAAAAACCGGACGUGUCCGUCUGUGAGAGUACCCGAAUAAAAAGCAUCGGCUAACUCCGUGCCAGCACCCGCGGUAAUACGGAGGAUGCGAGCGUUAUCCGGAUUUAUUGGGUUUAAAGGGUGCGCACGCGGAUUUUUAAGUCAGCGGUCGAAUCGUGCGGCUCAACCCCAUCCAGACGUUGAAACUGGGGAUCUAGAGUGCGCGAGAGGUAUGCGGAAUGCGUGGUGUAGCGAUGAACUGCAUAGAUAUCACGCAGAACCCCGAUUGCGAAGGCAUCAUACCGGUGCACAACUGACGCUCAGGCACGAAAGCGUGGGUAUCGAACAGGAUUACAU